GACAGAGGUGCCAAGCGUUAGGCGGAAUCACUGGGCUUAAAGCGUGUGUAGGCGGAUCGUUAAGUGCUUUGUGAAAUCCAACGGCUCAACCGUGGAAUUGCUCGGCAUACUGGCGAUCUUGAGCCAUCUAGGGGUCGCUGGAACAAACGGUGGAGCGGUGAAAUGCGUAGAUAUCGUUUGGAACGCCAAUGGUGAAAACAGGCGACUGGGGAUGUGCUGACGCUGAGACACGAAAGCCAGGGGAGCAAACGGG
This 253-nucleotide ribosomal RNA is filed under the name uncultured bacterium. Its description in RNAcentral is "partial 16S ribosomal RNA". It matches the Rfam family "Bacterial small subunit ribosomal RNA", at positions 524 to 776 of the family's 1533-position model. The record is from RNAcentral.